This 73-nucleotide transfer RNA is filed under the name Kushneria marisflavi. It matches the Rfam family "tRNA". Rfam says of the family: Transfer RNA (tRNA) molecules are approximately 80 nucleotides in length. Their secondary structure includes four short double-helical elements and three loops (D, anti-codon, and T loops). The record is from Rfam by way of RNAcentral. Lineage: Bacteria; Pseudomonadati; Pseudomonadota; Gammaproteobacteria; Oceanospirillales; Halomonadaceae.
GCCGGUAUAGCUCAGCUGGCAGAGCAACACAUUCGUAAUGCGUAGGUCGGUGGUUCAAGUCCACUUACCGGCA